UUGUAGCUAAUACACCCUAGCGGUUUAUAAAGAAUGUAGCUAGUCUCAUUCCUUCUACAUACACAGUAUUCUCUCUUGAACGGAGUUCCUCGCGUUUCCCAGCUAUAGCCUGCCUAGCCUAUAUGCAUGUGCCCGAAAUCAACCAAGGUCAGAGACAUGUAUCUGUGUCAGAACCUUCCAAUUGGAGAUAUGGUUCAGAACUACUUCAAAACAGCUUGAAAACUUUCUUUCACACGAGCCUUUCCGCUUGUGGUAAUGAGAGGUCGUGAGAGCAUCCUGGGGGAUUUUUUACAAGAAAAUCAAAAAUUCAACAAAAGAAACGUGUGAGAGCGGCAUAAAAUAUGUAAUUUUGUUGAAGAUAUGAAUUAUGCCACUGUAAAUUGUAUAUGUUUGUUAUUUUCUUCGGGUUGCAAAUAAUUGCCA
Molecule: long non-coding RNA, 423 nt
Organism: Salvelinus namaycush (lake trout)
Lineage: Eukaryota; Metazoa; Chordata; Actinopteri; Salmoniformes; Salmonidae
Exons: 3
Source: RefSeq, a predicted model, not a curated record